CCUACGGGCGGCAGCAGUGAGGAAUAUUGGUCAAUGGGCGAAAGCCUGAACCAGCCAAGUAGCGUGCAGGAUGACGGCCCUACGGGUUGUAAACUGCUUUUAUACGGGAAUAAAGUGCUUUACGUGUCGGAUUUUGCAUGUACCAUAUGAAUAAGGAUCGGCUAACUCCGUGCCAGCAGCCGCGGUAAUACGGAGGGUCCGGGCGUUAUCCGGAUUUAUUGGGUUUAACGGGUGCGUAGGCAGCAUGUCAAGUGAGCUGUGAAAGUUUGUGGCUCAACCCUAGAAGUGCCGUUGAAACUGGGAGGCUUGAGUAUGGGGAAGGCAGGCGGAAUUCGUGGUGUAGCGGUGAAAUGCUUAGAUAUCACGAAGAACCCCGAGUGCGAAGGCAGCCUGCU
Molecule: ribosomal RNA, 395 nt
Filed under: uncultured bacterium
Lineage: Bacteria
Description: partial 16S ribosomal RNA
Rfam family: Bacterial small subunit ribosomal RNA
Source: RNAcentral